RNAcentral lists this long non-coding RNA (256 nucleotides) under Nicotiana benthamiana. RNAcentral describes it as "long non-coding RNA (NBEN_LNC021347)". Lineage: Eukaryota; Viridiplantae; Streptophyta; Magnoliopsida; Solanales; Solanaceae. The record is from RNAcentral.
GAGAAACUAUCAAGAAAGUAAGUACAAUAAAGUCUUUAACUUAAGGAAGAGUAGAGAGGGACUCCUAGGCCUGCAAACGCGGCAGAUAUACCUCAAAGUCUCUAAAAUCGCCUCACCUCACUGUAAAUAUGGUUGGGAAGAGGUACCUGGAUCUUCACACAAAAAACAUAUGAAGAAAAGGGCAUGAGUACACCACAGCGGUACCUAGUAACUACCAAGCUUAACCUCGAUCGAGUAGUGACAAGAUCAUGUCGGG